RNAcentral lists this long non-coding RNA (1037 nucleotides) under Phocoena sinus (vaquita). RNAcentral's name for it is "lncRNA (ENSPSNG00000009617.1)". The record is from RNAcentral. Lineage: Eukaryota; Metazoa; Chordata; Mammalia; Artiodactyla; Phocoenidae.
UCUUACAUCUCCUUGCCUGAAUGAAAAAAGAAUAUGGUAUAAAAAGGCUGCUUGGAUGUACACUUAUAAAGGACAAAGAUUGCUUUUCGGAAAAGCAUCUUACAGGCAGGUGUUUAUUACUCUGAAUCGAUGGUUCUCAAACUGUGAGUUGUAUCUCAUUGCUGGUUCCUAAAAUGGUUCGUGAAAUCAACUUUUUGAACGGCAUAAAGUGCAAUGGAAUGGAACAGGAUGGAAAGGAAUAUAUUAGAAUGUAUCACAUAUUGUCAGGUUAACUAUUAUUUGGUGAAACUUUUACCAUAGUGCUGAACAAGAUUUGGUUUUUAAAAUAAAAAGCCACUACUUUGGAUCAUGUCAACUUGAUAUUUUGAAAAAUAUAAAUGCACUAUUCAUACUAUUCACAUUACUUUGAAUUCUUCACUCCAUUACGAUGUUUCAGAAUCAUUUCAGCUGUAAUUAGAUGAAGCCCCAAACCCUUUACACUUAGUCUCAAGAUAAAGAAAAUUAAUAAAAUGGGCUGAGCCUUUACAAUAACAACAUUCCUCGUCCUUGAGGCGUGGAAAGCCUGCAUAACAGCAACAAAUUGAAGAAGGGGUAAAUCCACCAUCCAAAACCAUCAAGAUCCUAUAUCUCUUAAAGCGAUCUGUUCUAGAGACAUCAGACUUGAACAUGGCGUCCUGACCCCAUGAACUGCGGGACUGACCCAAUGAACCGUAGAAGGGUUUUUACUAAUAUUUCAAAUGACUUUAAAAAAUUAAAAUAGAUAAAAUAUCUAAGACCAGAAAAGUAAAGAAGUGGAUACUAAAAUGGUUAAGUAUAUCAAGGUAUGUUUCAAAAAUCCUCACGUGGGGCUUCCCUGGUGGCGCAGUGGUUGAGAGUCUGCCUGCCGAUGCAGGGGACACGGGUUCGUGCCCCGGUCCGGGAAGAUCCCACAUGCUGCGGAGUGGCUGGGCCCGUGAGCCACAGCCGCUAAGCCUGAGCAUCCGGAGCCUGUGCUCCACAACGGGAGAGGCCACAACAGUGAGAGGCCUGCAUACCGC